Molecule: transfer RNA, 73 nt
Filed under: Ailuropoda melanoleuca (giant panda)
Lineage: Eukaryota; Metazoa; Chordata; Mammalia; Carnivora; Ursidae
Description: tRNA-Asn (GTT) (tRNA-Asn-GTT-4-1)
Rfam family: tRNA
About the family: Transfer RNA (tRNA) molecules are approximately 80 nucleotides in length.
Source: Rfam by way of RNAcentral
ACCUGGCUGGCUCAGUCAGUAGAGCGUGAGACUGUUGAUCUUGCGGUUGUGAGUUCGAGUCCCACGUUAGGUA